GGGGAUCUGCCCGAUAGAGGGGGAUAACCACUGGAAACGGUGGCUAAUACCGCAUAACGUCGCAAGACCAAAGAGGGGGACCUUAGGGCCUCUCACUAUCGGAUGAACCCAGAUGGGAUUAGCUAGUAGGCGGGGUAACGGCCCACCUAGGCGACGAUCCCUAGCUGGUCUGAGAGGAUGACCAGCCACACUGGAACUGAGACACGGUCCAGACUCCUACGGGAGGCAGCAGUGGGGAAUAUUGCACAAUGGGCGCAAGCCUGAUGCAGCCAUGCCGCGUGUAUGAAGAAGGCCUUCGGGUUGUAAAGUACUUUCAGCGGGGAGGAAGGCGAUGUGGUUAAUAACCGCAUUGAUUGACGUUACCCGCAGAAGAAGCACCGGCUAACUCCGUGCCAGCAGCCGCGGUAAUACGGAGGGUGCAAGCGUUAAUCGGAAUUACUGGGCGUAAAGCGCACGCAGGCGGUCUGUUAAGUCAGAUGUGAAAUCCCCGGGCUUAACCUGGGAACUGCAUUUGAAACUGGCAGGCUUGAGUCUCGUAGAGGGGGGUAGAAUUCCAGGU
This 559-nucleotide ribosomal RNA is filed under the name uncultured bacterium. RNAcentral's name for it is "bacterial SSU rRNA". It matches the Rfam family "Bacterial small subunit ribosomal RNA", at positions 120 to 674 of the family's 1533-position model. The record is from RNAcentral.